AGCGAACGCUGGCGGCAAGGCCUAACACAUGCAAGUCGAACGAACCUUCGGGUUAGUGGCGGACGGUGAGUAACACGUGGGAACGUACCUUUAGGUUCGGAACAACACAGGGAAACUUGUGCUAAUGCCGAAUGUGCCCUUCGGGGGAAAGAUUUAUCGCCUUUAGAGCGGCCCGCGUCUGAUUAGCUUGUUGGUGAGGUAAAGGCUCACCAAGGCUUCGAUCAGUAGCUGGUCUGAGAGGAUGAUCAGCCACACUGGGACUGAGACACGGCCCAGACUCCUACGGGAGGCAGCAGUGGGGAAUCUUGCGCAAUGGGCGAAAGCCUGACGCAGCCAUGCCGCGUGAAUGAUGAAGGUCUUAGGAUUGUAAAAUUCUUUCACCGGGGAAGAUAAUGACGGUACCCGGAGAAGAAGCCCCGGCUAACUUCGUG
Molecule: ribosomal RNA, 431 nt
Filed under: uncultured bacterium
Lineage: Bacteria
Description: bacterial SSU rRNA
Rfam family: Bacterial small subunit ribosomal RNA
Source: RNAcentral